This is a non-coding RNA of Oryctolagus cuniculus (rabbit), 2140 nucleotides long. The record is from RefSeq and is a predicted model, not a curated record. Lineage: Eukaryota; Metazoa; Chordata; Mammalia; Lagomorpha; Leporidae.
GUCAGCACAGCGCCUGGCACUGCCCUUCCCGCUUCUCUCUGAGAACUCCAGAGUGAGCCCUGCCUGGGCCUGGAGCCCGGACCCAGGGCUGGAGCCUGCGGCUGCGUCUCUUGUGUCCCCAGAUCAAAGGCGGCCUGGGCUUGGGCUUGGGCUCUGCGUGUGUUGUUCUCCAGGGCGGAGACCUGCUGGUGGCAGUGUCAGGUUACGUGGGAUGUAGGCGGUACGCGCAAAAUCCUGCUGACCUCAGCUCCACACUGAACUGGACGCCUUCCUCCCCCGAUCACGGCCGCCCGGGCAGCCGCACUGGCAGGCUUUGACAGAGGCAGCUGUGCCAGGUCUCCGCUGGCCAGCUGUGCAGGAACGGGCGCUUGUCAAGGGAGACAGGUCCCUUCUGGCCGCCCCCGGCUCUGCUCUGGCCCCGGGCUGCUCCCUCUGCCCCAGUCCCUUCCUCACCCCAGCUCUGCUCUGGCCCCGGGCUGCUCCCUCUGCCCCAGUCCCUUCCUCACCCCCGAGUGCCUGAGCAAGGGCAAAGUGCACUCAGGGGCCACUCCAAGGGCACCUUCCCAGCUGGCGCUGCGCUGAGCCGGCACCGGGUGCCCCAAGUCCUGCUGGAGGCCCUCAGCCUCGUCUUACAGGGUGGCUGUGAACCUCACCCCAUCGACCCGGGAUCUCAGGGCCUCGGAACAGCGUCCACGUCUGGCUCUGUGUCCUCCUCAUGCAAUCAAGUUUCAGAUCAGGGAUGCCCAGCCCGUAGAAGUGACGUCCGAGCCGUGGGGACGAAGCAGUCGGCAGCUGGCCAGGCAGCUACGUCACGGCGUCCCCAGCUGUCUGAGGACGUGUGGCGAAAUCCAGCAGAACGUUUGGUGUCACCACAGCACGUGAGUGGAGGCUGGGGACACUGAACAGCCUACCCAUGCCCAGCACAUGGUCCAGGCCCAAAGGUCAGCACUGGCCAUCGUGGGCACUGUGGUGAGGUGGGCUGGAUGGCUCUGGGUGACGGAGCUGGUCGCUCCCCCACUGGGCAAGGCAGCGUCUUCAGGCAGGGCUGUGUGGGGAGGCGGGAGCAGCCUGUAGGGCUGGCUCUGCACCCGUGCACCCCAGCCGGCCCACCGAGGACGCUGCCCGUGUGAGAGACACGUGUCGCCCUGGGACGCCCAGGCAGAACAAUGUGUUCCACAGCCUGACCCGUGCCCACGCCAGCGAGCGGCCACCAACGGUCCAGGCCGGGCUCCCAGCCUCAGCCUCUCCGCGCCCAAGGACUGAGCUCAGUGGGGAUCACGCGUGCGGAGCGCGUGUGAUGACGCACACGUCCCAGCCAGGGAGGGACCAGCAGGAUCAGCAGCUGGGGCUCCGGGGCUCCGGGGGCUCUGCAUCCAGGCGGCCACUCCCAGCCCCCACUGUGGCCUGCGUGCUCACGGGACGCUGGCUGGAGGCCAGGCGGGGCCCCGGGGCCAAGGCUCCCCGCCCUGCCUCCGUCUUCCUGCGAUGCCGCGUGGAAUGAGGGGAAUGAGUCUCCAGCAUGUGGGCCCAUAUUUAAUUAUUAUGAUUUAUCACCGCCGAGUACAUAAAGCAGUCCCCCGGACGCGACAUUCCUCACUCCCCAGCGCGCCGGGCAGUCUGCGGGCCUCCGCGGCAUCCUGCGCCGCUCUCCUCGUUAGCGUCAUCACUGUUAUUUACGACAGCCCAGCUGCCGGGGAGCAGGGCAGGGGCCGUGAGGUUCGCAGCAAGUUCAAGGGCUGGCGGGGAGGCCCUGGGCGCCCCGAGAGCUGCCAGCCCCCAGGGACCUGUGGGCGGGCGAGGGUGUGCGGGAGCCGCGGCUGCGGGAAGUUGUGAUGAAACACGCGAGACCACAAAAGGCACCGCUGGCGCCAUGCACGUGUGCGGCGCGCUCCCGUUCCCCUUACUUACAGUUGCAUCGUUGUGCAACCAUCACCACCAUCCGCCUCCGGAACUUUCCAUCGUGUCCCCCCUGAACACUCCCUGCCCUCGCCCCCUCCCCUGAGCCCCAGACCCACUACUCUGCUUUCCGUGUGCGUUUGACCUCGGUAAGGAGAAUCGCAGGAAAUCUGUCCUUCUGUGUCUUGCUUACUUCACUCAGCCGGGCCACUUGUGGGUUCGUCCGUGCUGUAGCGUGUGCCAG